UGAAAAUUUAAUAAUGGUGCGGUCUUACUGCAUUUGCAAGAACAUGGUGUUCGAGGAGAUGUUUCUUUCCAUCGUGUUCCUGAAAGAUGAAUUAAGAGAUAAGUGGAUCAGUAUUAUUGGAUAUAAAAUCGUUAAAAGCAGUGCUAUUUGAAGUGAUCAUUUCACAGACACUGACUUUCAAUUUAAAUUUAUAAAAGAUGUGCCAAAAAGAUAUUUAAUACCUGAUGCUGUUCCCAGUUUACUCCUUCCAAUACAGCAGAAAACGACACUUACAAUUAGUGAUUCAUCACAGGAUAUCAAACAAGCAGUUGAUUAUAAUAGUGAUACCAGUGAUAAAUUAUCUAC
Mycetomoellerius zeteki is the source of this 345-nucleotide long non-coding RNA. RefSeq lists it as uncharacterized. The record is from RefSeq and is a predicted model, not a curated record. Lineage: Eukaryota; Metazoa; Arthropoda; Insecta; Hymenoptera; Formicidae. The transcript has 3 exons.